Long non-coding RNA from Macrobrachium nipponense, 679 nucleotides. RefSeq lists it as uncharacterized. The record is from RefSeq and is a predicted model, not a curated record. The transcript has 3 exons. NCBI's taxonomy places the organism in Eukaryota, Metazoa, Arthropoda, Malacostraca, Decapoda, Palaemonidae.
AGGGGGAGCCGUUUUUUUUUUCAAACUACUAAAUGCUUAAUCUUGGAAAUGUAUUCAGAAUUUUGCAUGACCAAAAAAGUAAAUUCAGGACAAUAUUUCACCAGAUAUUUUGGUCACCUACCAUACAAUAACUUCUUUUUUCAUCAAACUAAGUACAAAUGGUUCUAGUGGCCACAGCGUACGCCACCAUGGACAUGGAGUGUUAUGAAGUAGUGUGUUGACAUUGGUAGAGCUCACACCAAUUAGUUUACGCUUGUGAAUUAUGCACUGGUUCGACCUAUUUAUUGACGUUUUCCGAGUCGUCUCGAGAAUUUAACCAACUUGCGUUAAGGAUACCAUUUUUAGAGCAGUGCACCUGAAGAAGGAUUAGUUAUGUCCAAAGAAUCUUCCAGAACUACAAAACCAUCGCAUAGCAGAUAUUGAAGAGACGUCAGAAGCAAAUGUCUCUGGAGAGUUUUGUUGUUCGACAGGGGUCCAGUGACUCUCAAGCUGGUCCUAGUACCAGUAAAAAACAAAGUGGGGAAGUAACCCCAGACAGCGCCACUAGAAAACAGAGAAGUAACACCAGAUAGGUUCAAGAUACCUGAAGUCCUUCUGGAUGGGGAUUCCUUUUCCAAGCAUUAACCUCUCCUCCUCCCUCUCCCCUCCUCUCCAUCUUCCAUAUGCUAACAAGUCUUCC